RNAcentral lists this ribosomal RNA (253 nucleotides) under uncultured bacterium. RNAcentral describes it as "partial 16S ribosomal RNA". It matches the Rfam family "Bacterial small subunit ribosomal RNA", at positions 524 to 776 of the family's 1533-position model. The record is from RNAcentral.
UACGAAGGGGGCUAGCGUUGUUCGGAUUAACUGGGCGUAAAGGGUGCGUAGGCGGGCAUUUACGUCAGGGGUGAAAUCCCAAGGCUCAACCUUGGAACUGCCUUUGAUACUGGGUGUCUUGAGUCCGGGAGAGGUGAGUGGAACUGCGAGUGUAGAGGUGAAAUUCGUAGAUAUUCGCAAGAACACCAGUGGCGAAGGCGGCUCACUGGGCCGGAACUGACGCUGAGGCACGAAAGCGUGGGGAGCAAACAGG